RNAcentral lists this unclassified non-coding RNA (655 nucleotides) under Hevea brasiliensis (rubber tree). Lineage: Eukaryota; Viridiplantae; Streptophyta; Magnoliopsida; Malpighiales; Euphorbiaceae. The record is from RNAcentral.
UCUGUGUAUCUGUACAUUACCGCAAUGUGGAUGAGAAGAGCUGGAAAUCAGUUGCACAAUGUGUCUAUGAUGUUAUAAAAAGCUAUCCACGCCUUCGAUUGACUCAUGGGAGGAAGGUUUUAGAGGUCCGACCUGUGAUCAAUUGGGAUAAGGGGAAAGCUGUCACGUUUCUGCUUGAAUCACUUGAUCUAAGCAAUUGUGAUGAUGUGCUUCCAAUUUACGUUGGAGAUGACCGCACAGAUGAAGAUGCAUUUAAGGUUUUGCGAGGGAGGAACUGUGGUUAUGGUAUUUUAGUGUCAUCUGUACCAAAGGAAACCAGUGCUUUUUACUCUCUUAGGGACCCGUCAGAGGUGAUGGAGUUCCUCAAGUCCCUGGUGAUGUGGAAGAAGUCGAGCGUGCAGUAAGAUUUACAAAGAGGAGAAUACUCAUACGAUAAGAAAAGCCUAUAUGUUUUUGGUUGGCUACUUUACCUAGGAAAUACACCAUCCAGCUGCUCAAAGCUUCUCGUCUUAGCUGUAAAUUCCUUUCUUUUGUUCUCUUAUUUUUUCCUCCAUAUUUUUUUUCUGUCAGUUCAACCUCUGGGGGAUUUGUUUACACAGACUUCUAAAUAUAUGUUAAUUCUUUUAAAUAUUUAAAGGUUUAUUUUCGUGCCAAU